GAUGAACGCUGGCGGCGUGCCUAAUACAUGCAAGUCGAGCGAAUGGAUUAAGAGCUUGCUCUUAUGAAGUUAGCGGCGGACGGGUGAGUAACACGUGGGUAACCUGCCCAUAAGACUGGGAUAACUCCGGGAAACCGGGGCUAAUACCGGAUAACAUUUUGAACCGCAUGGUUCGAAAUUGAAAGGCGGCUUCGGCUGUCACUUAUGGAUGGACCCGCGUCGCAUUAGCUAGUUGGUGAGGUAACGGCUCACCAAGGCAACGAUGCGUAGCCGACCUGAGAGGGUGAUCGGCCACACUGGGACUGAGACACGGCCCAGAACCCUACGGGAGGCAGCAGUAGGGGAUCUUCCGCAAUGGCCGAAAGGCUGACGGAGCAACGCCGCGUGAGGGAUGAAGGCUUUCGGGUCGUAAAACUCUGUUGUUAGGGAAGAACAAGUGCUAGUUGAAUAAGCUGGCACCUUGACGGUACCUAACCAGAAAGCCACGGCUAACUACGUG
RNAcentral lists this ribosomal RNA (499 nucleotides) under uncultured bacterium. RNAcentral describes it as "partial 16S ribosomal RNA". It matches the Rfam family "Bacterial small subunit ribosomal RNA", at positions 28 to 507 of the family's 1533-position model. The record is from RNAcentral.